RNAcentral lists this ribosomal RNA (497 nucleotides) under uncultured bacterium. RNAcentral describes it as "partial 16S ribosomal RNA". It matches the Rfam family "Bacterial small subunit ribosomal RNA", at positions 28 to 507 of the family's 1533-position model. The record is from RNAcentral.
GACGAACGCUGGCGGCGUGCCUAAUACAUGCAAGUAGAACGCUGAAGAGAGGAGCUUGCUCUUCUUGGAUGAGUUGCGAACGGGUGAGUAACGCGUAGGUAACCUGCCUUGUAGCGGGGGAUAACUAUUGGAAACGAUAGCUAAUACCGCAUAACAAUGGAUGACACAUGUCAUUUAUUUGAAAGGGGCAAUUGCUCCACUACAAGAUGGACCUGCGUUGUAUUAGCUAGUAGGUGAGGUAAUGGCUCACCUAGGCGACGAUACAUAGCCGACCUGAGAGGGUGAUCGGCCAAACUGGGACUGAGACACGGCCCAGACUCCCACGGGGGGCAGCAGGAGGGAAUCUUCGGAAAUGGGGGCAACCCUGACCGAGCAACGCCGCGUGAGGGAAGAAGGUUUUCGGAUCGUAAAGCUCUGUUGUAAGUCAAGAACGGGUGUGAGAGUGGAAAGUUCACACUGUGACGGUAGCUUACCAGAAAGGGACGGCUAACUACGUG